Molecule: ribosomal RNA, 253 nt
Filed under: uncultured bacterium
Lineage: Bacteria
Description: partial 16S ribosomal RNA
Rfam family: Bacterial small subunit ribosomal RNA
Source: RNAcentral
UACGAAGGGGGCUAGCGUUGCUCGGAAUGACUGGGCGUGAAGGGCGCGUAGGCGGUUUGUACAGUCAGGUGUGAAAUUCCCGGGCUCAACCUGGGGGCUGCACUUGAUACGUAUGGACUGGAGUGGGGAAGAGGGUCGUGGAAUUCCCAGUGUAGAGGUGAAAUUCGUAGAUAUUGGGAAGAACACCGGUGGCGAAGGCGGCGACCUGGUCCUUGACUGACGCUGAGGCGCGAAAGCCAGGGGAGCAAACGGG